GACGAACGCUGGCGGCGUGCCUAAUACAUGCAAGUUGAGCGAUGAAGCUUGGUGCUUGCACCAAUUUGAAGAGCAGCGAACGGGUGAGUAACGCGUGGGGAAUCUGCCUUUGAGCGGGGGACAACAUUUGGAAACGAAUGCUAAUACCGCAUGACAACUUUAAACAUAAGUUUUAAGUUUGAAAGAUGCAAUUGCAUCACUCAAAGAUGAUCCCGCGUUGUAUUAGCUAGUUGGUGAGGUAAAGGCUCACCAAGGCGAUGAUACAUAGCCGACCUGAGAGGGUGAUCGGCCACAUUGGGACUGAGACACGGCCCAAACUCCUACGGGAGGCAGCAGUAGGGAAUCUUCGGCAAUGGACGAAAGUCUGACCGAGCAACGCCGCGUGAGUGAAGAAGGUUUUCGGAUCGUAAAACUCUGUUGGUAGAGAAGAACGUUGGUGAGAGUGGAAAGCUCAUCAAGUGACGGUAACUACCCAGAAAGGGACGGCUAACUACGUG
This 497-nucleotide ribosomal RNA is filed under the name uncultured bacterium. Its description in RNAcentral is "partial 16S ribosomal RNA". It matches the Rfam family "Bacterial small subunit ribosomal RNA", at positions 28 to 507 of the family's 1533-position model. The record is from RNAcentral.